CUCGAUUGAAACGAACGGAGUUGAAUCGUUUCCAAUCAAGGAACUGAUUAUUUUUAUCUUUUUGGAACGUUAGAGGAUUUCGAAAGUUUUUUAGGAUUUUAGAAUGAUUUCGGAAUAAAAUUACCUCGCAAAUGAAAUCAUUUCGUAUUGAUGAUGCACGCAAAAAACAGUAAAACCUUCGUUGCUGCUGAGCUGUAUGAAGUAAAGAAGCUGUUGCGGAUAAUAGUUCUUUUGGUUAAGAUGAUCAAGACAUGAAGAUGCUACUUGUUCUUUCAUACUGAAUAGGUUUCAAUACCAGGUAU
Molecule: long non-coding RNA, 302 nt
Organism: Argiope bruennichi
Lineage: Eukaryota; Metazoa; Arthropoda; Arachnida; Araneae; Araneidae
Exons: 3
Source: RefSeq, a predicted model, not a curated record